RNAcentral lists this ribosomal RNA (246 nucleotides) under uncultured bacterium. Its description in RNAcentral is "partial 16S ribosomal RNA". It matches the Rfam family "Bacterial small subunit ribosomal RNA", at positions 57 to 305 of the family's 1533-position model. The record is from RNAcentral.
GCAAGCCGAGGGGUAUAUUAUUUUCGGAUAAUAGAGACCGGCGGACGGGUGCGUAACGCGUAUGCAAUCUACCUUUAUCACUGGAAUAGCUUUCGGAAACGGAAAUUAAUACCGGAUAACAUUACAACUGGCAUCGGUUGUAGUUAAAAGAUUUAUCGGAUAGAGAUGAGCAUGCGUCAGAUUAGUUAGUUGGUAGGGUAACGGCUUACCAAGGCGAUGAUCUGUAGGGGUUCUGAGAGGAUUAUC